UUAAGCCCCAGUAAACGGCGGUGGUAACUAUAACCAUCCUAAGGUAGCGAAAUUCCUUGUCGGGUAAGUUCCGACCUGCACGAAUGGCGUAACGACUUCUCAGCUGUCUCAACCAUAGACUCGGCGAAAUUGCAUUACGAGUAAAGAUGCUCGUUACGCGCGGCAGGACGAAAAGACCCCGGGACCUUCACUACAGCUUGGUAUUGGUGUUCGGUUCGGUUUGUGUAGGAUAGGUGGGAGACUGUGAAGCGGUGACGCCAGUUACUGUGGAGUCGUUGUUGAAAUACCACUCUGAUCGUAUUGGAUACCUCAACCUCGGACCAUGAUCUGGUUCAGGGACAGUGCCUGGUGGGUAGUUUAACUGGGGCGGUUGCCUCCCAAAAUGUAACGGAGGCGCCCAAAGGUUCCCUCAGCCUGGUUGGCAAUCAGGUGUCGAGUGCAAGUGCACAAGGGAGCUUGACUGUGAGACUGACAAGUCGAGCAGGGACGAAAGUCGGGACUAGUGAUCCGGCACCGGCAAGUGGAAGCGGUGUCGCUCAACGGAUAAAAGGUACCCCGGGGAUAACAGGCUGAUCUUCCCCAAGAGUCCAUAUCGACGGCAUGGUUUGGCACCUCGAUGUCGGCUCGUCGCAUCCUGGGGCUGGAGUAGGUCCCAAGGGUUGGGCUGUUCGCCCAUUAAAGCGGCACGCGAGCUGGGUUUAGAACGUCGUGAGACAGUUCGGUCUCUAUCCGCCGCGCGCGUAAGAAACUUGAGGAAGGCUGUCCCUAGUACGAGAGGACCGGGACGGACGAACCUCUGGUGUGCCAGUUGUUCCACCAGGAGCACCGCUGGUUGGCUACGUUCGGAAGGGAUAACCGCUGAAAGCAUCUAAGCGGGAAGCCUGUUCCAAGAUGAGGUUUCUCACCCCCUCGAGGGGGUAAGGCCCCCGGCAGACCACCGGGUUGAUAGGCCAGAACUGGAAGUACAGCAAUGUAUGCAGGUGACUGGUACUAAUAGGCCGAGGACUUACCACAA
Molecule: ribosomal RNA, 1015 nt
Filed under: Rhodococcus sp. 06-1477-1B
Lineage: Bacteria; Bacillati; Actinomycetota; Actinomycetes; Mycobacteriales; Nocardiaceae
Description: bacterial LSU rRNA
Rfam family: Bacterial large subunit ribosomal RNA
Source: RNAcentral